Long non-coding RNA from Takifugu rubripes (torafugu), 2824 nucleotides. NCBI's taxonomy places the organism in Eukaryota, Metazoa, Chordata, Actinopteri, Tetraodontiformes, Tetraodontidae. The record is from Ensembl.
GGUGGUGUUUGGAGAGAGAGGUUCUGGACUUUUACAAUAAUAAUACAACUGUUUAGAUUUGAUACAAAAAAAAUCAUCAGUCUUUGAAUAUGGAACAAUGCCGAUGAGCAAAUGUUGCACAAAAAGGACGUGGCAUCUGCAUGCAGCACAUAAGCCACAGAACCACAGCUGGCACUUGUAGCUUCUCAGUUAUGACAUGAGGACCUCUUUAAGUUUUUGAGCUAUGUUGUGAUGGUGCUGAUAAAAAUAAGCAGUAACUGCAUUUCUGGCUUGGUGUAACAGGUUCAGUUAUAUCUCAUAGCUGGCAGCAAAUAUGGCAGCUGACAUAUAUUGGAUGACUUUGGAAUGAACAUUAAAAUCAUUCAAAAAUAAAGAGGUCUUGCUUAAGCAAAAGCAAUAAAAUGGAAAUACACUGUAGAAUGUAAACUGAUGGUGAGAUGUAAUGUAUGGGUGUAGAUGUAAUUGAUUAGGAUACAGGAAGUAACAUAAAAUGGAUGUAUUUAUUUAUGAAUAUGAUGUUUAUCACUUUGGGGGUCAUUACUGCAAUUGCUUUUGUUAUUCACACAGCUAAGAUAGCUAUUUGAUCCCAAUAACGCCCCUGUUUUUCCACUGUCAUGCCACGACAACAAAGGUAGCAGAAUCAUUUUAAUUCCAUCCAAAAGGCGGGGAAAACUGCAGCGCAGGAAUGUGGCAAUGUCGGAGAGUUCUUUUUUUUUUUUUUUUACAAACAAAGGGAGGCGUCGAAACAACAAAUACAAUGAUAAAAUAUUUCUCAGAUAUAUUCAGAAUGAGUCAGGGGCAUUUAGGCUCACCUGCAAAUGCUCUUCAGAGACAUACGAUCGGUAAAUUAUAGGAUAUUUAUGUUUAAAACGUUUUUCAGACUGAGAAUUGUUAAGCUGUUUAAUGUAUCUAAAGCAGAGUCUUAUUAAAAGCAAAACAAUAUAUGCCCGCACAUUCUGAGAGCAAAAGCAGAGACAUUUUGAGCGCGACCGUUGCUCCAAUGAGCUCAGCAUCCGGCCGCUGGAGUCCCUCAACUUUUACUUACCGGCUCUAUACUGUAGCUCGAAAAAAGACAAAACAACAAACAACAGCCUUUUGUCGAGACAAAGCUGAUUGGAGAGGACAACCCAGCUGUCCUAUGGUGAUGGAGAAACUACCCACCUGAGAACCAUUUCAGUAAUUGCCUCACUGGACAACUAUAAAGAUGGCCCUCAACUCUACCUUUAUGCUCCCCUAAACAUUGCAAUCCCCUAACCAUUAGCUUACAGUACCUGAACAAACUUACUGACCCAUUUGGACGAUUUAGAAUCAUUGUGACUGACCCCCAACAUGAUGAAUUAGGCAACAGGACAAAGAAGGAUAUGACAACUGAAUUUUACCAUACUCACAAUAUUGAAAGCAUGGUAUUUCCAAAAGAGCCAUGGUACCUCCACCCUUCUGAUGUAUGAGCGACAACUACAGCUGCUAGACACGCAACCAACUGGCAGAAAAAUGACUGCAAAUGAGCCAGCUGAAUCUAACACCAAGCUUGAGAUCUCUGAGAGUGAGAUGUAGGACAACAACACACACCGUGCCAGGGGAACCACUGCAGCGAUGGGCUUGUGAAGAUGUUUUGACCUAAAACAAUUGGCCGACUUCUAAACAGCUCAUCCAUUCACACUGUCUAGAAGAAAGUUGCCUGAGGUAAUGGUCUUCACAAUGGCCAAUUGAUGUUAGAUUGUGAACAGGACAAAGUUUUAGCUAUGACUCAUAUAUUCAUCCAAAAUAGUCAACUAUAAUCAUCACAGCUAUGAUCCAUGGAAGCACAUAAAUUGCAAGAGAGAGAGCACAAAAAUAAGAUCCAUAUCUUGAGCGAUAGAUGCUGCAAACUACAGGCAUAUUUCACAAUCGUUACAAAUUCAGAUAAAUAAAUAUGUACCAAAGCACAUUCAAGAUAAAGAGAUCUAUAGAUAAAGCUGUGUUGAGAUAUCGAGAUAAAUAUCAUAUCAGACAUUUGAGGUAUUGUAGAAUGUAGAAAGAUACUGAUUUGGGGAGAAAAUCUCCAUUUCACACAUUUGACUCAAUCAUUUUAUAGUUGAAAAUAUUAUGACCAUUAGAAGAAGGUGACACACAAUUAGAGUAAAAUAAAAUAUAUGAUAAAUGGUGAGUAGGAGAACAAGAAAGUGGGGGAAAACAUUUUGGGGAGUAUAAUAGGCCUACUGGACUGGGCUUAGGGCAUCACCUUCACUGUGCCAUGUUCUGUUAGGCCUUGCAGUGUCACACAUUUUUAGAGCAUCCAGCCGCAAACCAUCUGGCUGGGGCUGCUGUAAUCAACAGUGGAGAAAACGACAGCAGGAAGUCAACUAAAACAAGACAGAGUAAAGGCUUUCAAAAUAAAACAGGAAUUUGAAAAAAUAACAAACAUGACUAAAAUAGUUGACUGAAGAACUCUACUUUUUGUUUUUGUUGUAGCAUGUUGCUUUUUAAUAAAUUGAAAAUAAUGGCUGAUGUUGUAUUUACUUCACUUAUUGAUUUCCUUCCAGGAUAUAAAUCUUUUCUGAAAUUAUUCAUAUGAUUUCAACAAUCAAUGUCAUUUAAGGGAGAAAUUGAAAAAAACAGGCAAGUACAUUAUAACCUAUGUAUUUUUAAAAAUUACUAUGAGAGGUUAAUACUUUUUGUAUGAAAAAAGCCAAGUAAACACUCUUAGGCAGCAUUUUUUUUAUGCUGGCUUAAGUUUGGCGCAGUGUAGUAUAUCAAAUUAAAUCAAAUAAAUCUUUAUUUAUAUAGCGUCUUUUACAAUCAAAAUUGUUUCAAAGCGCUUUCCAGAAUCCCAGGACCUAACCCC